GUCCACGCCCUAAACGAUGUCAACUGGUUGUUGGGAAGGUUCCUUCUCAGUAACGAAGCUAACGCGUGAAGUUGACCGCCUGGGGAGUACGGCCGCAAGGUUGAAACUCAAAGGAAUUGACGGGACCCGCACAAGCGGUGGAUGAUGUGGUUUAAUUCGAUGCAACGCGAAAAACCUUACCUACCCUUGACAUGUCUGAGAUCCUGUAGAGAUAUGGGAGUGCUCGAAAGAGAAUCAGAACACAGGUGCUGCAUGGCCGUCGU
Molecule: ribosomal RNA, 263 nt
Filed under: uncultured bacterium
Lineage: Bacteria
Description: partial 16S ribosomal RNA
Rfam family: Bacterial small subunit ribosomal RNA
Source: RNAcentral